Molecule: ribosomal RNA, 801 nt
Filed under: Serratia proteamaculans
Lineage: Bacteria; Pseudomonadati; Pseudomonadota; Gammaproteobacteria; Enterobacterales; Yersiniaceae
Description: bacterial SSU rRNA
Rfam family: Bacterial small subunit ribosomal RNA
Source: RNAcentral
ACUAAGGUGGAAAUUUUUUUUUUGAAUUUUUAUUUAUAUGAGUUUUUUUUUUUGUCAGAUUGAACGCUGGCGGCAGGCCUAACACAUGCAAGUCGAGCGGUAGCACAGGGAGCUUGCUCCUGGGUGACGAGCGGCGGACGGGUGAGUAAUGUCUGGGAAACUGCCUGAUGGAGGGGGAUAACUACUGGAAACGGUAGCUAAUACCGCAUAACGUCUACGGACCAAAGUGGGGGACCUUCGGGCCUCAUGCCAUCAGAUGUGCCCAGAUGGGAUUAGCUAGUAGGUGGGGUAAUGGCUCACCUAGGCGACGAUCCCUAGCUGGUCUGAGAGGAUGACCAGCCACACUGGAACUGAGACACGGUCCAGACUCCUACGGGAGGCAGCAGUGGGGAAUAUUGCACAAUGGGCGCAAGCCUGAUGCAGCCAUGCCGCGUGUGUGAAGAAGGCCUUCGGGUUGUAAAGCACUUUCAGCGAGGAGGAAGGGUAGUGUGUUAAUAGCACAUUGCAUUGACGUUACUCGCAGAAGAAGCACCGGCUAACUCCGUGCCAGCAGCCGCGGUAAUACGGAGGGUGCAAGCGUUAAUCGGAAUUACUGGGCGUAAAGCGCACGCAGGCGGUUUGUUAAGUCAGAUGUGAAAUCCCCGCGCUUAACGUGGGAACUGCAUUUGAAACUGGCAAGCUAGAGUCUUGUAGAGGGGGGUAGAAUUCCAGGUGUAGCGGUGAAAUGCGUAGAGAUCUGGAGGAAUACCGGUGGCGAAGGCGGCCCCCUGGGACAAAGACUGACGCUCAGUGGAAGACGCC